This is a non-coding RNA of Cololabis saira (Pacific saury), 159 nucleotides long. RefSeq annotates it as small Cajal body-specific RNA 1. The transcript has a single exon. NCBI's taxonomy places the organism in Eukaryota, Metazoa, Chordata, Actinopteri, Beloniformes, Belonidae. The record is from RefSeq and is a predicted model, not a curated record.
AUGCACCAAACAGAAGCCUGACAGCCAGUCCCAGAUGUGUUUCACGUUGGGGUUUCUAUGGCUGUUCAGCUGCAAACGGUGCAAGAGCAACAUCAGCCCUGAUAUUUAAGCUUCUCAGUGGAAAGCAACACUGAGGAGUUAUGGCUCAAUGGCACAACA